AAUGAGGACUAAACCCGGUAGACGAAUGAACCGUGGUAUUUAGGAUGCGUUCCACAUCAGAAAUGCGGGCAUCCCAGUUGCGCUGGUCCGUGCGGGCGUACGCGCGUAUUGCCGUAUUUAUAGAACGAUUCGUUCGUUCUACCGGGAACCGGCUGAAUUCUUUGGAGAUGAACGUCGAACCAUUAUCGCUCAACAGGAUUUCCGGACUUCCAUGGCGGUUGAACCAUUGUUCGCGAAGGGUCGCACAAAGUGAGGCGCUGCAAAUUUUGCGAACGGGGGUCAACAUUACGUACUUGCUGAAGACGUCGAGGACGACUAGCAAGUGUUGAUUGCCUCGUUUGCUUCGAGGAAGUGGGCCUAUGUAGUCCACCGAAAUCAUCUGCCACGGUGCACCGGUUGUCCCACAUUGGCGAAUAUAUUCGCGAACUUCUGGUCCCAUACGAGGCCAAAAAUAGCGUUUUUGAACCUCGUGAAUCGUUUUAUCAUAACCCACAUGAAGCAAUUCAUCGUGGGUAUGUUGCACGAUUUCUUCUCGACACUCGGGAGUUGGGACCAAUUUCCAAUUAAACCGAGAGUCGAAUGGUACACUUUUCGAGGCCACGUAUUUGAAAAGUUU
This is a long non-coding RNA of Wyeomyia smithii (pitcher-plant mosquito), 616 nucleotides long. RefSeq lists it as uncharacterized. The transcript is spliced from 3 exons. The record is from RefSeq and is a predicted model, not a curated record. NCBI's taxonomy places the organism in Eukaryota, Metazoa, Arthropoda, Insecta, Diptera, Culicidae.